GGGGGCGUAAGGAUUCGACGAGGGUUGUAGAGGCAGGAGCGGCAGGCCCAGGACCAUGGCCUGGAUAAAACAUGGAAGGCAAAUAAACGCCAACAAACAACAACUCGCCUACGCUGCUUAAUAUAAAGCGGCGCGUCUCUUUUCCGCCCUGGCCGGAGGCGGGGAACGGGGCGUCAACCAAUCCGGCCUACCGCUUGAACGGCGGCCCCGCCGCUUAAGCGGGAAAGCAACGGGGCUGGCGGCUUCCGGAUUCCGCUCCGGGAAGCCGGAGCCGCGAGAUACAAAACCGGAGCUAAGCCUGUAGAAGUUCCUGUAGCUUGGCCUUCGGACGCGGGUUCGAUUCCCGCCGCCUCCACCA
Molecule: transfer-messenger RNA, 358 nt
Filed under: Bacillota bacterium
Lineage: Bacteria; Bacillati; Bacillota
Also listed under: 2 other names
Rfam family: transfer-messenger RNA
About the family: Bacterial tmRNA, also known as 10Sa RNA or SsrA, is named for its dual tRNA and mRNA-like properties. Its role is to liberate the mRNA from a stalled ribosome.
Source: RNAcentral